GCCAAGGUCACCUAACAUGGUAUGGUGGUGGUCUCAAAAACCACGAGGCUGUGAACGGCCUUUCGGGGUUCAAAUCCCCGCCUUGGCG
RNAcentral lists this transfer RNA (88 nucleotides) under Candidatus Woesearchaeota archaeon. RNAcentral describes it as "tRNA-Leu". It matches the Rfam family "tRNA". Rfam says of the family: Transfer RNA (tRNA) molecules are approximately 80 nucleotides in length. Their secondary structure includes four short double-helical elements and three loops (D, anti-codon, and T loops). The record is from RNAcentral. Lineage: Archaea; Nanobdellati; Candidatus Woesearchaeota.